Molecule: ribosomal RNA, 115 nt
Filed under: Bacillus subtilis
Lineage: Bacteria; Bacillati; Bacillota; Bacilli; Caryophanales; Bacillaceae
Also listed under: 5 other names
Source: RNAcentral
UGGUGGCGAUAGCGAAGAGGUCACACCCGUUCCCAUACCGAACACGGAAGUUAAGCUCUUCAGCGCCGAUGGUAGUCGGGGGUUUCCCCCUGUGAGAGUAGGACGCCGCCAAGCU